AACGAACGCUGGCGGCAUGCCUAACACAUGCAAGUCGAACGAGACCUUCGGGUCUAGUGGCGCACGGGUGCGUAACGCGUGGGAACCUGCCCUUAGGUUCGGAAUAACUCCCCGAAAGGGGUGCUAAUACCGGAUAAUGUCUUCGGACCAAAGAUUUAUCGCCUUUGGAUGGGCCCGCGUUGGAUUAGCUAGUUGGUAGGGUAAAAGCCUACCAAGGCGACGAUCCAUAGCUGGUCUGAGAGGAUGAUCAGCCACACUGGGACUGAGACACGGCCCAGACUCCUACGGGAGGCAGCAGUGGGGAAUAUUGGACAGUGGGCGAAAGCCUGAUCCAGCAAUGCCGCGUGAGUGAUGAAGGCCUUAGGGUUGUAAAGCUCUUUUACCCGGGAUGAUAAUGACAGUACCGGGAGAAUAAGCACCGGCUAACUCCGUG
This 433-nucleotide ribosomal RNA is filed under the name uncultured bacterium. Its description in RNAcentral is "partial 16S ribosomal RNA". It matches the Rfam family "Bacterial small subunit ribosomal RNA", at positions 29 to 507 of the family's 1533-position model. The record is from RNAcentral.